CUAAGGUAGCAUAAUCAUUUGUUAUUUAAUUGGUAACUGGAAUGAAGGGUUAAACUAGUUUAUUAAGUUUGUGUGGCUAAAUAGGAGUUUAAAGUUAAGGUAAGAAUUCUUUAAUUUUUUAGGGGACGAUAAGACCCUAGAAGCUUAACGAGUGGUUGGUUUUGUUUUAUAAAUUUGUUUGUUUUACUGGGGCGGUAAAAAUAAUUAAGCUAUUUUUUAUUUAAGGGAUCCUUAAAAUAAAGAAAAAAUGGAGAAGUUACUCUAGGGAUAA
This 271-nucleotide ribosomal RNA is filed under the name Gammarus balcanicus. RNAcentral describes it as "partial 16S ribosomal RNA". The record is from RNAcentral. Lineage: Eukaryota; Metazoa; Arthropoda; Malacostraca; Amphipoda; Gammaridae.